Molecule: ribosomal RNA, 253 nt
Filed under: uncultured bacterium
Lineage: Bacteria
Description: partial 16S ribosomal RNA
Rfam family: Bacterial small subunit ribosomal RNA
Source: RNAcentral
UACGGAGGGUGCGAGCGUUGUCCGGAAUCACUGGGCGUAAAGGGCGCGUAGGCGGCCUGGUAAGUAGGGGGUGAAAUCCUGCGGCUUAACCGCAGGGCUGCCUUCUAAACUGUCAGGCUCGAGCACGGUAGAGGCAGAUGGAAUUCCCGGUGUAGCGGUGGAAUGCGUAGAGAUCGGGAAGAACAUCAGUGGCGAAGGCGGUCUGCUGGGCUGACACUGACGCUGAGGCGCGAAAGCUAGGGGAGCGAACGGG